AGCAGCGUGGCUUAGUGAAAAGAGCUCGGACCUGGUAGUCAGAGACCUGAGUUCUAAUCCCAGCUCUGCCA
Molecule: transfer RNA, 71 nt
Filed under: Ornithorhynchus anatinus (platypus)
Lineage: Eukaryota; Metazoa; Chordata; Mammalia; Monotremata; Ornithorhynchidae
Rfam family: tRNA
About the family: Transfer RNA (tRNA) molecules are approximately 80 nucleotides in length. Their secondary structure includes four short double-helical elements and three loops (D, anti-codon, and T loops). Further hydrogen bonds mediate the characteristic L-shaped molecular structure. tRNAs have two regions of fundamental functional importance: the anti-codon, which is responsible for specific mRNA codon recognition, and the 3' end, to which the tRNAs corresponding amino acid is attached (by aminoacyl-tRNA synthetases). tRNAs cope with the degeneracy of the genetic code in two manners: having more than one tRNA (with a specific anti-codon) for a particular amino acid; and 'wobble' base-pairing, i.e. permitting non-standard base-pairing at the 3rd anti-codon position.
Source: Rfam by way of RNAcentral